ACACGCAUGACACACUGCAUAUCAAUAAGCGGAGGAAAAGAAACUAACAAGGAUUCCCUUAGUAACGGCGAGUGAAGCGGGAAGAGCUCAAAUUUGAAAUCUUCAAGGUUUGACCUUGACGAAUUGUAGUUUAAAGAAGUGUUUUCGGUUAGAGGAGUAGUAAAAGUUCUUUGGAAUAGGACAUCAUAGAGGGUGAGAAUCCCGUAUUUGGUCAUUCUUUCUAGCUUUGUGAUACACUUUCAACGAGUCGGAUUGUUUGGGAAUGCAGUCCAAAAUGGGUGGUAAAUUUCAUCUAAAGCUAAAUACUGGCGAGAGACCGAUAGCGAACAAGUACCGUGAGGGAAAGAUGAAAAGAACUUUGAAAAGAGAGUUAAACAGUACGCUGAAAUUGUCAAAAGGGAAGCGUUUGACACCAGUGUUGUUUUCUCGAAAAUCAAUUAAAAAAGGCCGGAUUUUGUGUUGUAUUGACCUUAAAAGCUUUCUUCACUCUUUUCUUGUCUUUUUUAAUGCACUUUUCGUUUAACAAGUCAACAUCAGUUUCUUUUGUUGUAAAAGGGUCAUUGGAAGGUGGCUUUCUUUUCGGAGAAAGUGUUUAUAGCCUUUGAUCUCUGCAACCGGAGAGACUGAGGUCUGCAGCGUAGACUCUUCGGGGUUAGAUACAUUUGUGCUAAGCUAUAGCUUUUUAUAGACAACUUGUUGACUAUAUUUAGUCUUGUGGCUUACUCGCUUAUGCUAUUUUACCUACGCUUAGGAUGUUGAGCGCAUGUCUCUCUCU
This 775-nucleotide ribosomal RNA is filed under the name uncultured Neocallimastigales. Its description in RNAcentral is "partial large subunit ribosomal RNA". It matches the Rfam family "Eukaryotic large subunit ribosomal RNA", at positions 23 to 616 of the family's 3401-position model. The record is from RNAcentral. Lineage: Eukaryota; Fungi; Neocallimastigomycota; Neocallimastigomycetes; Neocallimastigales.